UACGUAGGGUGCAGGCGUUAAUCGGAAUUACUGGGCGUAAAGCGUGCGCAGGCGGUUGUGCAAGACCGAUGUGAAAUCCCCGGGCUUAACCUGGGAAUGGCAUUGGUGACUGCACGGCUAGAGUGUGUCAGAGGGGGUAGAACUCCACGUGUGAGCAGUGAAAUGCGUAGAGAUGUGGAGGAAUACCGAUGGCGAAGGCAGCCCCCUGGGAUAACACUGACGCUCAUGCACGAAAGCGUGGGGAGCAAACAGG
RNAcentral lists this ribosomal RNA (253 nucleotides) under uncultured bacterium. RNAcentral's name for it is "partial 16S ribosomal RNA". It matches the Rfam family "Bacterial small subunit ribosomal RNA", at positions 524 to 776 of the family's 1533-position model. The record is from RNAcentral.